Molecule: non-coding RNA, 72 nt
Organism: Phrynosoma platyrhinos (Desert horned lizard)
Lineage: Eukaryota; Metazoa; Chordata; Lepidosauria; Squamata; Phrynosomatidae
Source: the annotation of a GenBank genome assembly
GCCAGUGUGGUGUAGUGGGUUGAACAUGGAACUAUGACUCUGGAGACCAAGGUUCGAAUCCCAGCUCAGCCA